This 546-nucleotide ribosomal RNA is filed under the name Triticum aestivum (bread wheat). RNAcentral describes it as "partial small subunit ribosomal RNA". Lineage: Eukaryota; Viridiplantae; Streptophyta; Magnoliopsida; Poales; Poaceae. The record is from RNAcentral.
AUGGAGGCGCCCUUGAUCUCCCGCGCUGUUGAGCGGCCCCCGGCCCGGCUGGCAGCAUCCGCCCAGGCUGAGUCGGCGAACUUGAGGCUGGCCGCACAACGCGUGGGAGGCGAGGGCGUCGGCGACCUCGCGGAGGCUGGAGAGGCGGCGGUGCGCGCGGUAGAAGGCGACACUGCGGAGACCAUCGCUGGAGAUGCGGUCGCGCGGGUCGGGGCCAAUGUGGAGCUCGCCGAGAUCCCCAUGGCACGCUGCGAGGAUGACGAGCACGGCGUCGGUGUGGUCACGGUAGCCGGAGAGGCGGAGCAUGCAGAGGAAGGAGGCGGCCUUCACGGCGGUGUGACCGGCGAUGUGGAGGCUGUGCAGGUGGGCCGCGCAUCGGGGCGCCAGGGAGGCCGCGGCGGCGGAGGUCUAGCGCCGCCCACGGGCAUGGCGAGGCCACCAACGCCUGCUAGGCGUGGAAGCUGCGGUGGCGGCUGGGUCGGCGACUGGAUCGAGCAGAGGAUGGCCGGCUCCUCUCCCUCACCGGCCAUGGAGCUCCAGCGGUAG